AUGGUUUGUAGUGAUGAAUGGGAAGCAUGCAAGCACACGAAAACGGUGAAAGGAAAGGCGGCCAACGCCACAAUAAUGAGUAGGGGCUUUUGGAAAAAUGUAUCACUUUGCAUCAAGGUUUUUGAGCCAUUGGUGAAGGUGCUUCGGUUGGCUGAUGGGGAUGGUCCAUCUAUGGCUUCUAUGUAUGGAGAACUAAUAAGUGCAAAAAGGGAAAUCAAGGUUGCUGUUGAAAAUUUAGAAAAAGACUAUUUGGUGAUCACUAAUGCCAUGAAUACCAAGAUGAGUGGGAGGCUGGAUUCUCCAUUGCACAUGGCAGCAUACAUCUUGAAUCCCAAAUAUAGUUAUGCUGACCCGAGCAUCUUUACAUAUGUGGAGGUAGUGGCUGCGCUUAUGGAAGUCAUGGAGACAUUUUAU
RNAcentral lists this ribosomal RNA (414 nucleotides) under Triticum aestivum (bread wheat). Its description in RNAcentral is "partial small subunit ribosomal RNA". Lineage: Eukaryota; Viridiplantae; Streptophyta; Magnoliopsida; Poales; Poaceae. The record is from RNAcentral.